Molecule: ribosomal RNA, 253 nt
Filed under: uncultured bacterium
Lineage: Bacteria
Description: partial 16S ribosomal RNA
Rfam family: Bacterial small subunit ribosomal RNA
Source: RNAcentral
UACGGAGGGGGCUAGCGUUGUUCGGAAUUACUGGGCGUAAAGCGCACGUAGGCGGCUUUGUAAGUUAGAGGUGAAAGCCCGGGGCUCAACUCCGGAAUUGCCUUUAAGACUGCAUCGCUAGAAUUGUGGAGAGGUAAGUGGAAUUCCGAGUGUAGAGGUGAAAUUCGUAGAUAUUAGGAAGAACACCGGUGGCGAAGGCGGUCCACUGGCUCGGUACUGACGCUGAGAUGCGAAAGCGUGGGGAGCAAACAGG